GAUGAACGCUGACAGAAUGCUUAACACAUGCCAGUCAACUUGAAUUUGGGUUUUUAACUUCGGUUUGGGUGGCGGACGGGUGAGUAACGCGUAAAGAACUUGCCUCACAGCUAGGGACAACAUUUGGAAACGAAUGCUAAUACCUAAUAUUAUGAUAAUAGGGCAUCCUAUAAUUAUGAAAGCUAUAAGCGCUGUGAGAGAGCUUUGCGUCCCAUUAGCUAGUUGGAGAGGUAACGGCUCACCAAGGCGAUGAUGGGUAGCCGGCCUGAGAGGGUGAUCGGCCACAAGGGGACUGAGACACGGCCCUUACUCCUACGGGAGGCAGCAGUGGGGAAUAUUGGACAAUGGACCGAGAGUCUGAUCCAGCAAUUCUGUGUGCACGAUGAAGUUUUUCGGAAUGUAAAGUGCUUUCAGUUGGGAAGAAACAAAUGACGGUACCAACAGAAGAAGUGACGGCUAAAUACGUG
Molecule: ribosomal RNA, 467 nt
Filed under: uncultured bacterium
Lineage: Bacteria
Description: partial 16S ribosomal RNA
Rfam family: Bacterial small subunit ribosomal RNA
Source: RNAcentral